RNAcentral lists this ribosomal RNA (440 nucleotides) under uncultured bacterium. RNAcentral describes it as "partial 16S ribosomal RNA". It matches the Rfam family "Bacterial small subunit ribosomal RNA", at positions 338 to 795 of the family's 1533-position model. The record is from RNAcentral.
CCUACGGGAGGCAGCAGUAGGGAAUAUUGCUCAAUGGGGGAAACCCUGAAGCAGCAACGCCGCGUGGAGGAUGAAGGUUUUCGGAUUGUAAACUCCUUUUGUUAGAGAAGAUAAUGACGGUAUCUAACGAAUAAGCACCGGCUAACUCCGUGCCAGCAGCCGCGGUAAUACGGAGGGUGCACGCGUUACUCGGAAGCACUGGGCGGAAAGAGCGCGUAGGCGGGAUAGCAAGUCAGAUGUGAAAUCCUAUGGCUUAACCAUAGAACUGCAUUUGAAACUGUUAUUCUAGAGUAUGGGAGAGGUAGGUGGAAUUCUUGGUGUAGGGGUAAAAUCCGUAGAGAUCAAGAGGAAUACUCAGUGCGAAGGCGACCUGCUAGAACAUAACUGACGCUGAUGCGCGAAAGCGUGGGGAGCAAACAGGAUUAGAUACCCCUGUAGUC